RNAcentral lists this ribosomal RNA (253 nucleotides) under uncultured bacterium. Its description in RNAcentral is "partial 16S ribosomal RNA". It matches the Rfam family "Bacterial small subunit ribosomal RNA", at positions 524 to 776 of the family's 1533-position model. The record is from RNAcentral.
UACGUAGGGUGCGAGCGUUGUCCGGAAUUAUUGGGCGUAAAGGGCUCGUAGGCGGUCUGUCACGUCGGGAGUGAAAACUCGGGGCUUAACCCCGAGCCUGCUUCCGAUACGGGCAGACUAGAGGUAUGCAGGGGAGAAUGGAAUUCCUGGUGUAGCGGUGAAAUGCGCAGAUAUCAGGAGGAACACCGGUGGCGAAGGCGGGUCUCUGGGCCGAUACUGACGCUGAGGAGCGAAAGCGUGGGGAGCGAACAGG